This 23-nucleotide non-coding RNA is filed under the name Arabidopsis thaliana (thale cress). Lineage: Eukaryota; Viridiplantae; Streptophyta; Magnoliopsida; Brassicales; Brassicaceae. The record is from RNAcentral.
UAACAAAGCUAUUUAAUGCUUCU